Molecule: long non-coding RNA, 2423 nt
Filed under: Struthio camelus australis
Lineage: Eukaryota; Metazoa; Chordata; Aves; Struthioniformes; Struthionidae
Description: lncRNA (ENSSCUG00000018312.1)
Source: RNAcentral
AGAUGAGGCAUGAAAAAAAAAUUGACUCUUUGCAACCAGUUUCCCAUCAACCUGUAAGCCAAAGGCAGGGAGGGCAAUUAUGUUCCAGUCCCACUGGAGCAUUUCCAGCUGUGAAAGACACUUGCACUGAAGCACUUUGCAAUACUCCGCUCUUAUAGCUGCUGAACCUAGGCAGAAGCUGCUGAGAGGCUAUCUAAAGUCUAGGCUUGUCUCUGUGCACUGUAUUUCUGUUACACUGCUUCAGAAACUGCUUCCGAAUGGUUUGUGAUUAAGCAAACUAUCCACCCCUUAGGAUCUCCCUGAGCUUUAGCUUUCUUUUGGGUUAUAUGGCAUCUUCACAAACCCAGAUAAAAUCCAGCAGACACAUAAGGAAAACCAGCCCUCCCUCUGCAUAAAACCACAAAGCACUGAAUUGCCAGGGUUUCCCCUCCUGCCUUCCACUUUAACCCUCCAGCAUUGCCCUCCUUGCAUUUCUGUUCUCCCAGGAGCCCACAUUGCUCUGUGCUUAGUGGCAGGCGAUGAAAUCAAACCGUGCAUUAGCAGCUCCGUAAUAGCUUUGCUCAGUGGAACCCAGCUUCCUUCAUUAAUCCAGAAAAUGAGAGUUGUUUUCGUACAUUUGAGAAGCUAAUUAUUUAAGUGCUGGGAAUUAAGGCUCAUCAGAUACUGGAGACUGAUUUUGGUUUUGUUUCCCAGGGGAUGGAACAAGAUGGAAGGAAGCUGGUUCUGCACAGGUGUGCAGUGUGGUAGCCCACCUCUACUUGGGGCAGGGAGCAACAGCCUGCAUCCCUUUCUACCUCAAGCAGAAAAGUCUCUCUCUGUGUAUGUCCCUUUCCUCACAGACACUGAUGGCUCGUCUCACGACUCUUUUCAACCUAUGGGCUGUGAGUCCUUGGAAUUCCAGGCGCUACUUCGAAGAGGUCUGCAAAGGAUCACAAAGACAAGCAAGCUUAUUGUCAGUAGGUUUAAAUUAGCUAUACAAGGGUCCAUAAUUCCACUGGAAAACUUCAGGACAUGACUACAAAGUUCUGUGUCAGCUACAUCCUUUGAAAUCCACCUAUCUUUGCACUCUUUGGACUAACAGGCAUCCUUUUGGUAGGACCUGUGCAGCUGAACUGACCCUUUGUCACUGAAUGUUGUGAAUUCAAGCAGCCACGCUGUCCUUUAUACUGGGAGUGAGCUGGGGGAAAUCUCUAAUGUGGAUCUGGCACCUAUCAGAUGCUCUUACUUAUGGAUUGGACUGAAAACAAAACCUUUGUUCUAGAGAAGAUGGUGCAGCUGGGACUAUACAAGCAAUUCAAUUUGGUAGCAGGGUCAGUAUUUUGUCCCUGCGAUAAAAGAGCAGGUACACAGAGUACUGCCUGCAAACUGCUGGGUGUCUUAAGUAGCUCAGAUGAACUUCAUUGGGAACUAAAGGCAUUCAGCUUCCGGCAGCAUCAUGCAGCAGAUUCUGCCUGAUAUCUCCAGAGGUUUAAGCGCUGUGGUCAGACAUACAACCCAGUCUGCUUUAAAUGUUUUGGAUUAAGUAAUGGUGGUGCUAUUUAUUUGAAUUGAAGUUCAUAAUGCUUAAAUGAAAACAGGCUUGAGCUAGAAAAAAGAAAACAAAAACAAAACAAUUUUCACUAAAGAUUUAAAAAUAGUUUAUUUUCAAAAUGUUAAAAAUGAUACAUUUAGGGUCUGUCCUUUUUAGAGUGCCUGGAAAAAUGCAGAAGAGGCACUGAGGAAUCUUCCUGUAUCAUGCAUUGGUUAUUAGCAUAGAGGGCCCUCCUGCUUGUAAGAGCAAAUUGGUUCUUUGUGAACAGCACAAGAUGCCAUAGCUGGAUCUAGCACUCUAGCCAUACGCACACAGGCUGACUUCUUUGUUUCUCUCACUAGACGACGAAAUGGGAUUCAUAUCUGGAAGCCUGGCUCUAGGCGAAGCCAAAAAGGAGUGAGUGCCAAAGGCCAGCACCUACUACAGAAUACACAAGCAGUGCUUCUCUCCUGUUUAUAUGGAGGACUGCUUGCUUAGGUGUUUCAUUUGAUGUCUCUACCAGAAGCAGGAUGAUACUUGAGGAGUACUACUUUAUGACAACAUAUUCCUGAGUUCCUUUCUCAGUUCUACCAAGCCUGUGCAGAAUUAAGAAAUGUGCAAGCUAUUAGCUCCUUGAGUUUCAAACCAGCAAGCAAUGCGAGCCCCUGAACAGUCCUCUUGAAAUCCACUUUUGGAGCCAGGCUCUUCAGGCUCUUGUAUGUUCAAACCUAAGAAAGCUUCACUUGUAAUUCGUAUUUUUGUGAAGAAUCCUAGCUAACUCCUUGGUAUUGUUCACGCAUCUGAUCUAAGGGAAAGGUUCACGUUUACCUGAGAACUUGGACGUUUUAAUACAUGUUAUAUGGAAAAGCAUGUCCAGGUAAUAAAGUAAGGACUGAUUCAUAGCUACCUAGCA